RNAcentral lists this ribosomal RNA (443 nucleotides) under uncultured bacterium. RNAcentral's name for it is "bacterial SSU rRNA". It matches the Rfam family "Bacterial small subunit ribosomal RNA", at positions 556 to 1000 of the family's 1533-position model. The record is from RNAcentral.
GGGCGUAAAGGGCACGCAGGCGGUGACUUAAGUGAGGUGUGAAAGCCCCGGGCUUAACCUGGGAAUUGCAUUUCAUACUGGGUCGCUAGAGUACUUUAGGGAGGGGUAGAAUUCCACGUGUAGCGGUGAAAUGCGUAGAGAUGUGGAGGAAUACCGAAGGCGAAGGCAGCCCCUUGGGAAUGUACUGACGCUCAUGUGCGAAAGCGUGGGGAGCAAACAGGAUUAGAUACCCUGGUAGUCCACGCUGUAAACGAUGUCGAUUUGGGGGUUGAACUUUGAGUUUGGCGCCCGUAGCUAACGUGAUAAAUCGACCGCCUGGGGAGUACGGCCGCAAGGUUAAAACUCAAAUGAAUUGACGGGGGCCCGCACAAGCGGUGGAGCAUGUGGUUUAAUUCGAUGCAACGCGAAGAACCUUACCUACUCUUGACAUCCAGAGAACAUUC